AUAACAUAGUGGAUGGCGUCAACCGCCGAGUCAGCAGAUUAAUAUUAUAAAAAGGUAGUGACCGCGUGGCUCGUUCUCUUUUUUCCUGAAGGCGUCUGAUCAACUACCGGUGGUAGAGUUGAAGAAGUUCCUGCCGAACUUAAGUGGUGUCAGAAGUGGGAUCGUGAAGGUGUUAAAAUAGAGGAAACAGUCCCGCCGCACGAUCGAGAAAACCCGGAUGCAGACUUCAAGACUACUAUGUUUCCUAUUCUGGACAUCUACAGCUUGGACAGACAUCCGCAUUUACGACCUGACUAAUAAUCCCAUAGCAAUCAUACCUCUCGGACAGGCCAGGAUUAGUAACAGUUAUAUCAGAGUAAUUCAUCCCGUAAAUUUAACAGCCAUAAAAGAUGCUAUAAAUUUGUUUGACUAUGUAACUAAAAAUUCUGAUUUAAAUAAUUCACUUUUCGAUCAAGUUAUUAGAAAAAAGAUAAAUAAAAUACACUUAACG
Aedes aegypti (yellow fever mosquito) is the source of this 490-nucleotide long non-coding RNA. RefSeq lists it as uncharacterized. The transcript is spliced from 3 exons. The record is from RefSeq and is a predicted model, not a curated record. Lineage: Eukaryota; Metazoa; Arthropoda; Insecta; Diptera; Culicidae.